GGAAUCUUCCGCAAUGGACGAAAGUCUGACGGAGCAACGCCGCGUUAGUGAUGAAGGCCUUCGGGUCGUAAAACUCUGUUGUUCGGGAAGACCAAGUCCCGUUCGACUAGGGCGGUACCUUGACGGUACCUAACCAGAAAGCCCCGGCUAACUACGUGCCAGCAGCCGCGGUAAUACGUAGGUGGCAAGCGUUGUCCGGAAUUAUUGGGCGUAAAGCGCGCGCAGGUGGUCCUUUAAGUCUGAUGUGAAAGCCCACGGCUCAACCGUGGAGGGUCAUUGGAAACUGGGGGACUUGAGUACAGAAGAGGAAAGUGGAAUUCCACGUGUAGCGGUGAAAUGCGUAGAGAUGUGGAGGAACACCAGUGGCGAAGGCGACUUUCUGGUCUGUAACUGACACUGAGGCGCGAAAGCGUGGGGAGCGAAC
This 424-nucleotide ribosomal RNA is filed under the name uncultured bacterium. RNAcentral's name for it is "bacterial SSU rRNA". It matches the Rfam family "Bacterial small subunit ribosomal RNA", at positions 358 to 773 of the family's 1533-position model. The record is from RNAcentral.